UACGGGGGGAGCAAGCGUUGUUCGGAUUUACUGGGCGUAAAGGGCGCGUAGGCGGCGUGACAAGUCACUUGUGAAAUCUCCGGGCUUAACUCGGAACGGUCAAGUGAUACUGUCGUGCUAGAGUACAGAAGGGGCAACUGGAAUUCUCGGUGUAGCGGUGAAAUGCGUAGAUAUCGAGAGGAACACCGGUGGCGAAGGCGGCCUUCUGGACAGCAACUGACGCUGAGACGCGAAAGCGUGGGGAGCAAACAGG
Molecule: ribosomal RNA, 253 nt
Filed under: uncultured bacterium
Lineage: Bacteria
Description: partial 16S ribosomal RNA
Rfam family: Bacterial small subunit ribosomal RNA
Source: RNAcentral